AUGAACGCUGGCGGCGUGCCUAAUACAUGCAAGUCGAGCGAACAGACGAGGAGCUUGCUCCUCUGACGUUAGCGGCGGAUGGGUGAGUAACACGUGGAUAACCUACCUAUAAGACUGGGAUAACUUCGGGAAACCGGAGCUCAUACCGGAUAAUAUAUUGAACCGCAUGGUUCAAUAGUGAAAGACGGUUUUGCUGUCACUUAUAGAUGGAUCCGCGCCGCAUUAGCUAGUUGGUAAGGUAACGGCUUACCAAGGCAACGAUGCGUAGCCGACCUGAGAGGGUGAUCGGCCACACUGGAACUGAGACACGGUCCAGACUCCUACGGGAGGCAGCAGUAGGGAAUCUUCCGCAAUGGGCGAAAGCCUGACGGAGCAACGCCGCGUGAGUGAUGAAGGUCUUCGGAUCGUAAAACUCUGUUAUUAGGGAAGAACAAAUGUGUAAGUAACUAUGCACGUCUUGACGGUACCUAAUCAGAAAGCCACGGCUAACUACGUG
RNAcentral lists this ribosomal RNA (496 nucleotides) under uncultured bacterium. RNAcentral's name for it is "partial 16S ribosomal RNA". It matches the Rfam family "Bacterial small subunit ribosomal RNA", at positions 29 to 507 of the family's 1533-position model. The record is from RNAcentral.